CUCCUGGUCGUCAUCACACAUGGCUAGGUUGCAUAUUUUUAUCAUUCUUCUUUUGGGAGGUGUUGGUAGCAGUCAAGUUCAGAUCCCUGGAUCAGUGUUAGGAGGUGACAGUUAGACCAGGAGACAACAUCACUCUCUACUGUGACUGUAAAACAUCUACUGGAGUAUACAUCGUGUGGUACAGAAACUGUUCUCAUGUGAACCAGCCUUCACUUGUUCUCGGAACAAGGUACCCACAUGAGAAGUUGUUGGAAAUUGAUUACUCUGAAGACAUUCUGAAUCCCUUUCCUCGUUUUCAUUUGGAGAGAAAUCAAUCGUCUGAAUCUUACGAUCUGCUGAUCAUGAACAUCACCGAUUCUGAUGAGGGUUUCUACUACUGUGGAACUGAACAGGCCAAGGUGGAAGAUAAGACCAAAGUUGAACGCAAAUACAUUUACAGAUAUGGCAAUGUCACAACAAGGAUUGUACUGAGUAAGUAUUCUGUUUUGAGUUCUCCUUGGGGAUCAGUUAUCUAUGCAAUCUAAAAAUGUGACUAAGACAGUAGGAGAACAGUAGGAAAAUGUAUAAUGAAGAAAUCACUAUCAUGACAUCGUUUCCCAAACAACAUUGUUGUGAUAGCUGUUCCCUGAUUACUGUUCCCUGGUUUUUAACUUGUACUGAAUCAGAGACUCUCUUGAAUCUGAAAUGUGUUAAAUAAUUGUAAAACUGCAUCUAAAACUUUGAUCAAGAUUCCACAUAGACAUACUGGUUGAAACUGACACACCAUACAAACCUUGUAGGGUUAUAUUGAUAUUAAAGUAUGAGGAUAUUUGAGGAUAUACUAUGUUUAUUCAACUGUGAUAGCAGCGAAAAUGACAGUAUCGACCUUUUUUUGUUUGAUGUGGAUCAAACAAAAACAUUAAAUAUUGUUAGCAGCUCAGAUCGUUAUAAAAACUCAACAUUGGCUAGUGAAGACGUCUUUUACACUUAAAUUUGGAACUACCAGCAUUAUCUUGAGAUUAGCAUGUGUGUGGUUUUGUGGAAAAAAAUUAUACACAGAGGUGACAUACAUGCAAAAUUGUGACCAUAAAAAAAAAACAAAACAAAACAUGAUAGUGCUAUGAGAUUAGUAAUCACAAUCGUGUGCUCAGAAAGCUAAUUGACAGUACUCUGUGUUUGUUUUACCAGUUAACUCCAGCGAGCCUCAUCAAGAUUGUGGUUCGUGCUGGACACUGUUGUUCUCUCUGUGUCCAGCUUUUGCUGUUCUCUCCUCUCUCCUCUCCUCUCUUCUGGUUUAUCACCUCUGCGGAGAAAACAGGUACAGCUAAAGAACCACAAGUUGAUGAGGAAGGGCCUGCAACCAGAGGUCACACAAGAGGAAAUCAGGAUGAAGACGUGUGUUACGCUGCACUGGAAAUCCGUCAGGUGUCACAGAGACCAAAGAAGAAGAAAAUCCAGAGUUCAGACUUCAGCACAUAUUCUGCCAUCAAUACCUCUAGGAUGUAAAGGACACAGUAUAACUCAUUUAUGAGCAAUGGUGUUUACAGGCCACACACCCUCAUCCUCUGUCAGUCAUCUGUGAUGUCAUUGGUGUGUGUGAAAUUUACAGUUUAAAAAAUGUUUUUAAUCAACACCAAUUAUGUUUGAGAGAAGCUGAUAUUCAACUCUCAACUCUCAACGGUCACAGUCAGUUUUGAUCUGGAAAAACGUAGCACGUAGCACGUAGCAAGUAGCACUUGUCACCUGAAUACCUCUAGGCCAUUACUGUGAAGCUUGUUGGUAGUGGCAAUCAUCAGGAAGCUGAUAGAGAAACCACAGGAGUCCCAAAGUGCCUGAGAGCUCAGGCUGACACAUACAGACAGAAAGCUAUUCAUGCUCAAAUUUACACCUAUGGGCAAUUUAGAGUUGCCAUUUGAUCUAACGCAAACCUGCAUGGCUUUGGACAGUAGGAGGGAGUCAGAGCACCUAGAGAGAAUCCACACAGAUGAGCUGUACAAGAAGAUUUGGGAAAUGUGUUUGUUGCUUAUCUACUGUAAGAUUGAAAUUGAUCUGUUUUAUUUCAUUACAUAAAUUAUUACUGUAUAUAACAAAACUCUAUAAUAACUCUCUUUGGCCAAUUUCCUGUUGUUAUCUCAAAUUAUUUAUCAGCUGCAACCCUUUGUGCUGAUAGUGCUUUAGAGAACAAGACACAUACAAAAGUUCACAAAUGUGUUACACACAAACAUUCCACAAAAACGAUGCUUCUUAUUUCUUAUUCACCAGCUAUUUAUAAUUCAAAAGCCCCUCUACCCGCUUUCAGAAAAGUUAAGACAACACAGAGUUGACAAUAGUGUCAGUCUCAACCAUCAUAUAGUUCAUGUUUUCACAAAGACCACAGGAAACCCACACUGACAAGAGUCCCCUGCAGAACUCAACAUGCAGCCAGACUUCAGCUGCAGAGUUUGGUCCCCAGAUGAUUGAUAUCAGCUUAAGAAUGGUUUCAGAUUGACUCAGUUAUUAGCUAUUGGGCCAUGUGGUGUUCAAACAUUUGCAGCUACAGUAGAGCAAGAAACUCAUUAGAAUCAGGCAGAUCUGCAGACACCAGAGGUACGGGGGCACCUUAUGUUUUUACAGUUAUAAUCACUUCAUUAUAUCUGUCCCCAUCUUUUCUAUUUAUACAUGGUUGAGUGCACUUUCUUUGCUGCAUGACGCAGAGUGUGGUUUCAUACGCACAUUCUUGCAGAUACCAAGCCACUGAGGUUAUACUGAAGUAAUGCUGUUUGUCUGCAUCAGUAUAUCUGAAGCACAAACAUACUGUGGUUUCUUGUUUAUUUGUUGUUUUAAUGAAGGUGACACCAGGUCCAAGUGAAACUCUCCUGACCUCUAGUGGAAAAAUCAACCAGUAAACCAUGGUCACAAAAGGACGAGCCCAAGCUGCGACAUAAUCUAAACAAGAUUCUUCUAACCACCAUAUCCUACUUAUGAAUUCACAUUAGUUGUAGGACCUUAACAUUACAGCUCAUAAUUAUAGCAAUUAUGUAAAAAUAUGAAUGCAAAUCUGGCCAGAAAUAUAUGUAGUGUUACCAGUUUAAAAUAAGGGUGUGUGAAAAAAAUUAUAUUUUUGGAUGAUCUACCUCAGGGACAAAUUUGUGCUGGCAAUGUUGAGGUUCAAUACAAGGCAUGUGUCAUAUCAUAAUCUAUUUCUAUACUUAUCGGAAUGUAUUGGCCAACUUUUACAUAGUAAAUAUGAUUUUAAUGUAAGUCGGUUGUCUCUAAUGCUGACAUGUGUAACUUCCUCGAAGUCCCAGUCUAUGUGUAGAGACUUGUGAUUUAAAAACAUGUCUGGUUUAAAAUGUAUUUGCUUGAGUUUUUCCAUUACUACCUGAAAACGGUCCAUUAGUUGAUGAUGAUCAAGCUCUCAAGGAAGUAUCAUAUUGUGUCAAACUGUGGCAGCAGACUGACAGAGAAACAAUAACUGCAUUGUAGCUAUGACAAUACCAGUUCCUACCAGACCAGAGGCAAAACCACCGUUUAUCGAAAACAAGUUAUGUUCCCGCUCAGACACAGCAAAACUUUCACAGAGCUAUUUUAAAAUGAAAGAGAAGCAGUGGUUUCCCAGCAGAUCACACCUCAAAUGUGGACACAAAACCUGUAUGUGCAUACUCCUGCAUGCUCAGGGGCAGGUUGCAUAAGUGAUAUUAUGGUAUACUUAUGUUCCACUGAACAUGACAGAAACCUGAGGUUUUUGCAAGUUAUGACCAUUUAGCUCUUAAAUUUUUUUUUCCUGUCAUCUCACCUCCUCGUAUCCUCUGAAGUGAUACUGUGUGUGCUGGGUGGGGAUUGUGUAAGGCCACACAAGGGUUCAGUGCUUUUCAUACAGUUGUUGUUUGUUAACAACAUUGCAUGUUCCAUAUGUGAACAAAAGAAAAAAGUGUUCUCAACCAGGGAUUCAAUCUUGGGCUUGGGGAUUUUAGUCUGAUUAUACAACAUGUGAUUUUGAUAAUGGUAUUAGACCAACAAUAAUUUAUGAAAUAAACAGUCCUACAACAAUUAUUCUGAAAUACCUAAGUAGCAGUGUACCACAUUAUUAUUGCCUAUAAAUGUGAUGAAGCUGACAGACUGUUGCUGAAUUGAGGUUGAUCCUUGUCAUAUAUCCCUUUCUGACAGAGAGAGCAUCCCAUUCUGUGGUUUGAAUAUCAAAUGUGCUAAUGUUUAUGUUUGCAACGACAUCGGAAAAAUCCACAGUAUGUUCAUGCCUUUGUUGAGCAUUAGUAUUUAAUAAAAGCUUACCAUCACAGCCAACAACAAAUGAUGCAGGGGGAUUCACUACAGAAUCAAAUACCAUCAUGAUGUUUUGUGAACUGACUGUCCAAGCUGAGUCAGCCUGAUGCAUAAA
This is a long non-coding RNA of Lates calcarifer (barramundi perch), 4354 nucleotides long. RefSeq lists it as uncharacterized. NCBI's taxonomy places the organism in Eukaryota, Metazoa, Chordata, Actinopteri, Centropomidae. The record is from RefSeq and is a predicted model, not a curated record. The transcript has 3 exons.